RNAcentral lists this ribosomal RNA (253 nucleotides) under uncultured bacterium. RNAcentral describes it as "partial 16S ribosomal RNA". It matches the Rfam family "Bacterial small subunit ribosomal RNA", at positions 524 to 776 of the family's 1533-position model. The record is from RNAcentral.
GACGAACCGUGCAAACGUUGUUCGGAAUCACUGGGCUUAAAGGGCGCGUAGGCGGAUAGCCAAGUCGGGGGUGAAAGCCUCCAGCUCAACUGGAGAUGUGCCUCCGAUACUGGCUGUCUCGAGGGAGGUAGGGGUGCGCGGAACUUCCGGUGGAGCGGUGAAAUGCGUAGAGAUCGGAAGGAACGCCGGUGGCGAAAGCGGCGCACUGGACCUCUGCUGACGCUGAGGCGCGAAAGCCAGGGGAGCAAACGGG